GGGCACAGCGUGAGGGCCGCCGUUGCUGGAGUUCAGCUUAGGGAAGGAGGACUCUGAGGAGGCCCCGAGCGGCGGAGCGCUUCGGGGGAGGCGCCCGCGCAGACGCGAGGCCCAUAGCCAGGACCACCACCUAGCUGAUUCUUGAUGACAUUGGUCGGGAAAACUCGCCUUUCACGGCCCGGCCAAGGGGCAUUUGGGUGCUUUUGCUGCCCGUGGCUGUGCUCAGCGUUGUGGGAAGCCCCUGGGAGGCCGAAUGUGCAGGAUCACCGAGGGGAAAGUGAGCUUGACAGUUCUACAGUCUGGGGACGACGGUUUAAAAAUUUAUGCCUUGCAUGCGAUGUGCAGUGGGUGAUGGAAGAACGUCUACAUGGCUUUAAAAUUGGAUUUAAAAGGCAAAUAUUUUAAAUGAAGGAAAACCCAAGAAGUUUACUUGAUUCCUUAUCUUCCAGGAUGCGACUUUUGUUUAUUUAUUUAUUUUAUUUUGAUGGAGUCUCGCUGCCGUCGCGCAGGCUGGAGUGCAGUGACGCGAUCUUGACCCGGGAACCUCCACCUCCCGGGUUCAAGCGAUUCUCCUUCCUCAACCACCCGAGUAGCUGGGAUUACAGGCGUGUGCCACCAUGCCCGGCUAAUUUUUGUGUUUUUAGUAGAGACCGGGGAAGGUAUGGGCCCUCUUUUGAGAAAAAUGCAGAGUGACACUGAAUUUUGUAACUACAUCAGGAGGCUCUUGAACCUUCUGCAGCUCACUCGUGGAGUUUGUAGAGAUGCGUAAUAAUCCGAAGUGUUAAGGAAGAAGGUUCUGUUGAGAAAAAGUUGGAGGGCUGAAAGGGAUGCCUUUCGCUAUUUCGACAUGUGUGGCUGUACCCCAGAGUGCCCUGGCUAACACGCAAAACCAUGAAUUAGGCGGCUUGGCGAGGCUCAGUGGAGGCUGGGGCCGAGAGUCAUGUCAAAGUUUGUGGGGUUAACCUGCACCCAGUGACAGUCAUGGCGAAGUUUGUGAGGUUAACUCGCACCCAGUAACGCUGUUCCAAUGCAAGGUGUGUAUUUGGUGUCAUCCACGGGAAGAGGAAACAGCAAAUUUUCUCAUGGCCUUGGCAGUUCCACAUGAUGGACAUUUCAUAUCUGCAGUUUUCUUCGCAUGAGAUGGCUUUUUUGCACAAAAACACUGGAAUCCAGUGAGCAAGAAUGAUAGAAUGCAAGAUGGAUUUCCACAUGAGGAAGUGUCACGAACAAGCGUUUUGCAUCUCUGUCAGCUGGAUUCCCCCAUGUGGAGAGACCCACCGACCCUGUGGGGCUGGUCCCUACAUCUGGCGCUCUGACGUGGGGCUCUCCCUCGCUGUGUGAAGUUGCACCCUGAGUGCGGGAUCAGCGGAGGAGUUCAACGAGAGAUUCCUGAGGAUUGCAGUCUAUAAACUUGGUGUCUGCAGAUGCCUCUAAGGAGUCCGAAACCAAGUCCGAAGUCAACAACAAGCAAUGAUGGCGAUGGCGAUUCUAGUUAAUAAAAAGGGGGGAGAUGUGGGCGGCAAGCCACCCAGGCACCGAGGCAAGAGACAGAGGACACGAGCUGUUCCAGUAUAAUAAAAUAUAAAACAAGAA
Long non-coding RNA from Homo sapiens (human), 1593 nucleotides. Ensembl annotates it as endogenous retrovirus group K13 member 1. Its record names the gene ERVK13-1. NCBI's taxonomy places the organism in Eukaryota, Metazoa, Chordata, Mammalia, Primates, Hominidae. The record is from Ensembl.